CAUAUCGGACCCAGGGCGAAAGCCUGAUCCAGGCAUGCCGCGCGAGUGAUAACGGCCUUAUGGUCACAAAGAUUUGUCAGUGGUGAAGAUAAUGAGAAUAACCACAGAAGAAGACCAUGGUAAAUCUCUGCCACCACCCGCGGUAUUAUGGAGGGGGCAAGAGUUUUUUCGAAUUUCUGGGCGUAAAGAGGGUCUAGGGGGGUUUCUAAAUCUCAGGGGAAAUAUCCCAGAUCUAAUCUAGAAAAGCCUCUGAUAAAGGAGAUGAUGAGUCCGGAAGAGGGUAGGGGAAUUUCCAGUGUGGAGGGGAAAAUUGUAGAUAUUGGGAAGAACACCCCUGGCGAAGGGGCAUAAUUGGUCCGCUUUAGACGCGGAGGUGGGAAAAAGUGGGGAGCAAACACGAUAAGAUACCCCGGGAGACCACACCCUA
This 427-nucleotide ribosomal RNA is filed under the name uncultured marine bacterium. RNAcentral's name for it is "bacterial SSU rRNA". It matches the Rfam family "Bacterial small subunit ribosomal RNA", at positions 359 to 804 of the family's 1533-position model. The record is from RNAcentral.